GCGUGUCGCUUGUGUUUUAUUCUUUUUUGUUGGUAACACUCUUUUAAACGUGAAUUAUGAGGCAUCCAUGAAAUAAGAGGUUUGUCUUCCUUCUUUUAUCGUAUUUUUCAGUUUAGUUUUGCUUUUUUUAGUCCUAAUUUAUUUUUUAAAAUUUUCUGAUAGAGUUAGAAAGAGUUACAACGUUAUUUAUUUCUGCAUCAUCUAUCACAGUAAGUUUUAAAAAGGUUUCAUUUGGAGCUACGAGGAGAUCUACUCCAUGAUAACUUUAGUGGAAAAGAAGAUCUGUGGUUCGAUUUGAUGGUAGAUACUAGUGAUGGUGGGCACUCAUCUUCUUCGAUUGGUACGAAGAGCUACUGUGUUUUAU
This 364-nucleotide long non-coding RNA is filed under the name Carica papaya (papaya). RNAcentral describes it as "long non-coding RNA (CPAP_LNC015383)". The record is from RNAcentral. Lineage: Eukaryota; Viridiplantae; Streptophyta; Magnoliopsida; Brassicales; Caricaceae.